GACGUAGGGCGCGAGCGUUGUCCGGAUUUAUUGGGCGUAAAGAGCUCGUAGGCGGCUUGUCGCGUCGUUCGUGAAAACCCACAGCUCAACUGUGGGCUUGCGGUCGAUACGGGCAGGCUGGAGUUCGGUAGGGGAGACUGGAAUUCUCGGUGUAGCGGUGAAAUGCGUAGAUAUCGAGAGGAACACCUGCGGCGAAGGCGGGUAGCUGGGCCGACACUGACGCUGAGGCGCGAAAGCUAGGGGAGCGAACGGG
RNAcentral lists this ribosomal RNA (253 nucleotides) under uncultured bacterium. RNAcentral's name for it is "partial 16S ribosomal RNA". It matches the Rfam family "Bacterial small subunit ribosomal RNA", at positions 524 to 776 of the family's 1533-position model. The record is from RNAcentral.